Molecule: long non-coding RNA, 328 nt
Filed under: Brassica napus (rape)
Lineage: Eukaryota; Viridiplantae; Streptophyta; Magnoliopsida; Brassicales; Brassicaceae
Description: long non-coding RNA (BNAP_LNC025299)
Source: RNAcentral
ACUCUUGGCUGUGAGAAGAUGAAGACUCUAUCAGUGCGGCUUCUAGUGUGAGGUGGCUGAAGAGGUAGCUGAAGCUUCCACAAGCACUCCAUGAAGAUGGUGAGUUCAGAAGGUGUUGCAAAGGAGUAAUGGUGCAGAUCAUGAAGCUAUCCAUCCAAGCUUGUUCCUGUGAGAGUCUCAAGCUUGAGGGGGAGUGUUGAAGCUUACAUGAUCUGAGAGUACUUGGUGGUUAUUCAAGAAGAGGAGCAGAUCAGUUAUGAAGCAUAAUGAAGGAUGAAGAAGCGAUCUCCAAUGCGGCCUCUAGAGUGAGGUGAUUGGUACUACAGUC